Nematolebias whitei (Rio pearlfish) is the source of this 121-nucleotide small nucleolar RNA. The record is from RefSeq and is a predicted model, not a curated record. Lineage: Eukaryota; Metazoa; Chordata; Actinopteri; Cyprinodontiformes; Rivulidae.
CUCCAGUGAUGAUACAGCCAUGCUAAUACUGAUGCAUUAGGCAGAUGUACUGAGUCUGCCUGGGUGCAUGUGAGUUCAACUCACCUUCUCACACUGAUUGUGUCAGUGUGUGCUGAGGAGA